GCCAGGUGUGGUGGCUCACACCUGUAAUCCCAGCACUUUGGGAGGCCGAGGUGGGUGGAUCACCUGAGGUCAGGAAUUCAAGACUAGCCUGGCCAACAUGGCGAAACCCUGUCUCUACUAAAAAUACAAAAAUUAGCCAGGCGUGGUGGUGCAUGCCUGUAAUCCCAGCUACUCAGAAAGUUGAGGCACUUUGGGAGGCCGAGGCAGGUGGAUCACCUGAGGUCAGAAGCUCAAGGCCAGCCUGACCAACAUGGUGAAACCCCAUCUCU
This 269-nucleotide small RNA is filed under the name Gorilla gorilla gorilla (western lowland gorilla). RNAcentral describes it as "Metazoan signal recognition particle RNA (ENSGGOG00000026049.2)". Lineage: Eukaryota; Metazoa; Chordata; Mammalia; Primates; Hominidae. The record is from RNAcentral.